ACAUCCACACACGGGUUAGGCGGGGGGAGGUGGGAUUGAUGAGCGGCGUCGGAAAGCAGUCAUGACAUCUGUUCUUAUUUGGAUGCUGUGGCCGCUGAAGGUAGACUGCUCUCCUCGAUUGCAGAGUCGGACCUUCGGGGCUGCGUCUGUUUUCCCACCAUGCUGGAUAUUUUGGUUUUAAUGUUUUUCGCCAUUAUAGGCCUGAGCUUCUUAUCUUACAUUAUUUACAUGCUUUGAGGAGUCCGUCGGCGCUGGCCGAUCGCGAGAUUACUAGAAUGGCAGACGGUUGAUGCGCUUUGUUGUUGUUUUUUUUUUUUUGUCAAUUUUUCUCGGCCUACGGUGUAGCUCCCUGGACAAAGGGUGGUGACAGGUGCGGCAGGAUGAGCAGGUGCGGUUGAAGGGAGGGAUAGGGGUCUCGGCACUGCGGUGUGAGGAGGCAGCUCUUCUCCCUCCCUCCCGCACCCAGAAGAACCUUCCGCUGCUGGUUCCCUCCUCUUCAGUGCUCACAUUCGUAAUUUCAAUCCCUAUUGGAACCCCUAUCCUCACUUCAUCCUUGUGUGGCCACAGUUCCUGUACAGCCAGGGUGCACAACUUCGAUGUGCAUUCUGUCUUAUCCUCCAACCAAACGGCUGAAUGCACCCGCGCUGGUUCACUCCUGUUCUGACCGCAAAAACAUCGUCACCAAUGUGAUCACGUGAUCAGUCCACGGCUGUAGCUCAUGAUUUUGUCAGAACACAAUCGAAUAAAACCAUUAGGGCUAAUUAAGCAGACGAGUUAAGGUUUGUGUGAAGUCACGAAAUGGAUCCGCUCAAACUGCAGCCCUACGCGUCCAAUUGCCUCGAUAGCUCUAGCCUUCGAUUGUUUUGAAGCUGUCAGUGGAUGAGUCCUGCUGUUUGCUGUGCACAGAGAGGAGGGUUAAGAUCACAAACACUGCUUAUAUAAACACCGUAGAGGCUCGAGGCAGCUCUGAUCACAAACACUGCUUAUAUAAACACCGUAGAGAGGCUCGAGGCAGCUCUGAACACAACUCAGAGCUGAUUGUGCACAAGCUGUCGGUGAUUGUGACGCUGAGCUGUGACUUGUUUUCCGCAAUACCGUGCUUCUCUGUUCAUAUGUGUGCAUACUGCAAGUAGGCGUACUUUUCAGACUGAAAGGGGAAUUUCAAGGACAAUCUCGAAGAGAGCUACAUGGUAUCCUGUAUUUUUUUUAAAUGAUUGAUGCACUUUAUCAUGGAAUUGAGUCUUGUGUUAGGUUCAACAGUAAGUCCAAAUGGCAUUAUGUUUGAUGUUCUCGAUGAGCUUGUGUAAUGAGGUAUGGUUCUGGAAUGUUCCUGUUCUCCAAGCAGGGGGAUCUGACAUGAUGUUUAGCUAAAAACUGCAUCUCUGAUUCCUGUCCUCUUCUGUGUGCCGACCGGCCCAGUAUAGGUGUUAUAGCUGGGGUGGCACUGCUCAGUGAAACAAACAUAAUGCCAUUAUCAGCUGUGGCAGGGAACUUAGUAUUGCUUUCUGUUUGCACUGAAUUAAUUUCCAGUAUCUUGGUGGAGCAUAAUAUGACAGUAUAUGCAUGUACUUCAUAUUUGCCCUGUUCCCUCACUCUCAAGAUUAAUUUAUUCUAUUGAACAUACAGUAAAAUGAAGAUGUGAUCAAUUCUGAAGACUAUUUUCUCAGUCAAAUCAAAUAUAGGACACCAUAUGUAUUCUUCUAAUGAGCACAACUGUUUUGCAUCAAUCAAUUUUUGUGAUACAUAAUUUUGACCUUGUAAUAAAGAAAUUGGUCCAUCUUUAAUUGGUAUUACUGCCUUUUAGAGUCAGAUUUUCAGUGCUUCACGUUGGAUAUCUUCCUGAAGGAAAUAAAAAAUAUAAAACACUGGAAA
Conger conger (European conger) is the source of this 1872-nucleotide long non-coding RNA. RefSeq lists it as uncharacterized. NCBI's taxonomy places the organism in Eukaryota, Metazoa, Chordata, Actinopteri, Anguilliformes, Congridae. The transcript has 2 exons. The record is from RefSeq and is a predicted model, not a curated record.